Molecule: ribosomal RNA, 411 nt
Filed under: uncultured dinoflagellate
Lineage: Eukaryota; Dinophyceae
Description: bacterial SSU rRNA
Rfam family: Eukaryotic small subunit ribosomal RNA
Source: RNAcentral
UUGACGGGUAACGGAUAAUUGGGGUUCGAUUCCGGAGAGGGAGCCUGAGAAACGGCUACCACAUCUAAGGAAGGCAGCAGGCGCGUAAAUUAUUUUUUCCUGACGCAGGGAGGUAGUGACAAGAAAUAACGGGAGCGCGCAUCAAUGCGUUGUGAUUGGAAUGAGUUUAAUUUAAAAGGCUAUGCGAUUAUCAAUUGGGGGGCAAGUCUGGUGCCAGCAGCCGCGGUAAUUCCAGCUCCAAUAGGGUAUAUUAAAGUUGUUGCGGUUAAAAAGCUCGUAGUUGGACUUGUACGAAGGUUCGUUGGUCCGCCCUUUGGGUGUGUACUUUACGGUGUCCCUCGUCUCUCUGGAGAACGUUGCCAUGCUCACGCGUGGUGCGGUAUCCGGAGCAUUUACUUUGAGGAAAUUAGA